This 861-nucleotide ribosomal RNA is filed under the name uncultured bacterium. Its description in RNAcentral is "bacterial SSU rRNA". It matches the Rfam family "Bacterial small subunit ribosomal RNA", at positions 1 to 871 of the family's 1533-position model. The record is from RNAcentral.
GGAUCCAGACUUUGAUUAUGGCUCAGGAUAAACGCUGGCGGCGCACAUAAGACAUGCAAGUCGAACGAACUUAACCAUUAGUUUACUAUUGGAGCGGUUAGUGGCGGACUGGUGAGUAACACGUAAGCAACCUGCCUAUCAGAGGGGAACAACAGUUAGAAAUGACUGCUAAUACCGCAUAUGCCUUAGAAUCACAUGGUUCAAAAGGGAAAGGAGCAAUCCGCUGAUAGAUGGGCUUGCGUCUGAUUAGCUAGUUGGUGGGGUAACGGCCUACCAAGGCGACGAUCAGUAGCCGAACUGAGAGGUUGAACGGCCACAUUGGGACUGAGAUACGGCCCAGACUCCUACGGGAGGCAGCAGUCGGGAAUAUUGCGCAAUGGAGGAAACUCUGACGCAGUGACGCCGCGUGCAGGAAGAAGGUUUUCGGAUUGUAAACUGCUUUAGACAGGGAAGAACAAAGACAGUACCUGUAGAAUAAGCUCCGGCUAACUACGUGCCAGCAGCCGCGGUAAUACGUAGGGAGCGAGCGUUAUCCGGAUUUAUUGGGUGUAAAGGGUGCGUAGACGGGAAGUCAAGUUAGUUGUGAAAUCCCUCGGCUUAACUGAGGAACUGCAACUAAAACUGAUUUUCUUGAGUACUGGAGAGGAAAGUGGAAUUCCUAGUGUAGCGGUGAAAUGCGUAGAUAUUAGGAGGAACACCGGUGGCGAAGGCGACUUUCUGGACAGAAACUGACGUUGAGGCACGAAAGUGUGGGGAGCAAACAGGAUUAGAUACCCUGGUAGUCCACACCGUAAACGAUGGAUACUAGGUGUAGGGGAUAUUAAAAUUCUCUGUGCCGCCGCUAACGCAAUAAGUAUCCCA